AUUUAUAUAUAGCGUUGCUAUAGAAUGUCCAGAAUCCUCAAACAACACUUAACAUCGUUUAGAAAGCGUCGGGCUGCUUAUGACAACCAGAUGAAGUGAUGAGGCGCGUCACCCUCGAUCGGACGCUGGAUCCAAACAACAGCCGUAAAGGACGUUUGGGGGACCGAGGGAGAACACUGCCUUUGGAGUCAGUCAGAUCUAAGUUCUGAUGAACCUCUCAACUUGGUCGGACUGUCCUUCACCCCAUUUCCCCACUGGUAAAACGGGAAACAUACCCUCAGAGGAUUGUGAAGCCCGAGUAGGAGCACCUAGCAGAGGGCUGAGGCACUCGGAGGCAGGAGACAUAUAUAGUAAGAAGUUGCCACAGCCAAUGUCAGGUUACUGCCCAUGUUCUCCGUUUUAGAAAACAUCCUACACAACAGUGGAACACGCAUACCCGUCCCCACACACACUGUCAUCAGGAGGAAAAGGCUCAAAAGAUACGCAACAGCACCUGACACCAUCUGAUACACUUCCUUCCGCACUUGUAAGCUGUGAAGCCUUCCUCGAACCAGCAGGUGGACUGUGACAGGGGCGGGGACUGCCUCUGUACACUCAGUUUAACCUGUGACCAAUGGCUGCCACAUGGUAGGCGCUCAACAAAUGUAUUUAUUGAAGUAAAUGAAUAAUGAAGAAAAGGGAAUUUUACAGAAACAUAAGGUCUUCUGUAUUUUGAAAUAUCAACAGUGAACUAAUAAGAAAUCUGGUUUCAGUCAGAAUGAGGUAAAGACUGAUCAAAGAAAGAAUUGUCUCAAGUUCACAGGAUUACAACUGGAGUCCCGAAGAGAACACAGGAGUAAACAU
Long non-coding RNA from Prionailurus viverrinus (fishing cat), 843 nucleotides. RefSeq lists it as uncharacterized. The record is from RefSeq and is a predicted model, not a curated record. NCBI's taxonomy places the organism in Eukaryota, Metazoa, Chordata, Mammalia, Carnivora, Felidae. The transcript is spliced from 5 exons.